This 399-nucleotide ribosomal RNA is filed under the name Triticum aestivum (bread wheat). RNAcentral describes it as "partial small subunit ribosomal RNA". Lineage: Eukaryota; Viridiplantae; Streptophyta; Magnoliopsida; Poales; Poaceae. The record is from RNAcentral.
AUGACGCCAGGGCAGUCGCAGAGCCCCAAGGCCAAGCACCGAAUGAACCGCGAGGCGAGCGACACCAACGUAUACCUCACACUCGAACAGCGAGCACCAAGGCACCCCGCCAGCCCGCCUCCUCUCGCGGCCACCGUCUCCGACUCGGCUCGCCGGCGAAAUCUCGCGUGUCGCCACCUUGUUCCACACCGGCAGCAGCCUUCCAAUCCGGGAGACGAGACGACCAGCCGGGCGGCGAGGAGCAGAGGACCUACCUGGGCUCCAUGGAGAUCGAGAGGGGCGCGCGCGCGCCUUUGCGCUCGCCACCGCGGUGGGUUUUAUAAUGCCGCUCCUGUUGCUAUCAGCUCCCACCGAUCUUUCCGUAUAAAAAACGAUCUCUGCACUGUGCGCGUACAGUAG